RNAcentral lists this ribosomal RNA (870 nucleotides) under Triticum aestivum (bread wheat). Its description in RNAcentral is "partial small subunit ribosomal RNA". Lineage: Eukaryota; Viridiplantae; Streptophyta; Magnoliopsida; Poales; Poaceae. The record is from RNAcentral.
AUGGUGUUGCUUGACAUUAGGGGUACGUUGCAGUCUAUGGGUAAAGAUAUUAUUGAUUUCGCUCUUCCAAUGAUCGAUGAUGCGUUUGACCCAACCGAGGGCGAGGCCAGAGAGAUCAUCGAGGAAUCAACUGUUGAGUUUGUCGAAAGUGACACUAAAUUGUCAUCUUCCUUGAAUUUUGAGGAAAGUGCUGCAUACGACGAGAUACUAGCGGCUGUUGAACGCGGUGAUGGUGGUAUAUUCUUUGUUGAUGGCCCUGGAGGUACGGGGAAGACCUUCCUCUAUAGGGCAAUGCUCACCAAGGUGAGGGGCGAGGGCAAGAUUGCUAUCGCUACCGCGACGUCGGGCGUCGUUGCUUCUAUCAUGCCUGGUGGUAGGACUACCCACUCAAGGUUCAAAAUCUCACUGAGUUGCGAUGAUGGAGCCUCGUGCAGCUUCACCAAGCAGAGUGGGACCGCCAAGCUGCUACGGAUGGCCUCAUUGAUACUAUGGGAUGAGGCCAGCAUGACUAAGCGACAAGCAGUUGAGGCAUUAGACAAUAGCAUGCACGACAUCAUGGGAAUACGCGACCGACCCUUUGGAGGAAAGACUGUUGUUUUUGGCGGGGACUUUAGGCAGGUGCUUCCAGUCGUCAGAAGGGGGUCAUGGGGCCAAAUAAUUGAUGCAAGCCUCCGAAGUUCUCAUCUAUGGAAGAGUAUGCGGCAGCUUCGGCUCAUCACCAACAUGAGGGCUCAUAAUGACACGUGGUUUGCAGAUUACUUGCUCAGGGUCGGUAAUGACAUAGAGGAAGCCGACGAUCAAGGCACAUACUACUCCCUGAUGAUAUUUGUCUGCCAUCUAAAGGCGAGGUUGACGACCUGGAGAAGCUGA